This 505-nucleotide ribosomal RNA is filed under the name uncultured bacterium. Its description in RNAcentral is "partial 16S ribosomal RNA". It matches the Rfam family "Bacterial small subunit ribosomal RNA", at positions 28 to 507 of the family's 1533-position model. The record is from RNAcentral.
GACGAACGCUGGCGGCGUGCCUAAUACAUGCAAGUAGAACGCACAGUUUAUACCGUAGCUUGCUACACCAUAAACUGUGAGUUGCGAACGGGUGAGUAACGCGUAGGUAACCUGCCUGGUAGCGGGGGAUAACUAUUGGAAACGAUAGCUAAUACCGCAUAAUAUUGAUUAUUGCAUGAUAAUUGAUUGAAAGAUGCUAUUGCAUCACUACCAGAUGGACCUGCGUUGUAUUAGCUAGUAGGUGAGGUAACGGCUCACCUAGGCGACGAUACAUAGCCGACCUGAGAGGGUGAUCGGCCACACUGGGACUGAGACACGGCCCAGACUCCUACGGGAGGCAGCAGUAGGGAAUCUUCGGCAAUGGACGAAAGUCUGACCGAGCAACGCCGCGUGAGUGAAGAAGGUUUUCGGAUCGUAAAGCUCUGUUGUAAGAGAAGAACGGGUGUGAGAGUGGAAAGUUCACACUGUGACGGUAUCUUACCAGAAAGGGACGGCUAACCACGUG